Molecule: ribosomal RNA, 219 nt
Filed under: uncultured bacterium
Lineage: Bacteria
Description: partial 16S ribosomal RNA
Rfam family: Bacterial small subunit ribosomal RNA
Source: RNAcentral
UACGUAGGGUGCGAGCGUUAAUCGGAAUUACUGGGCGUAAAGCGUGCGCAGGCGGUGAUGUAAGACAGGUGUGAAAUCCCCCGGGCUUAACCUGGGAACUGCAUUUGUGACUGCAUCGCUGGAGUGCGGCAGAGGGGGAUGGAAUUCCGCGUGUAGCAGUGAAAUGCGUAGAUAUGCGGAGGAACACCGAUGGCGAAGGCAAUCCCCUGGGCCUGCACU